GCUGGGUGUGGUGGUGCAUGCCUGUAAUCCCAUGACUCAGGAGGCUGAAGCAGGAGGAUUAUGAGUUCAAAGCCAGCCUCAGCAAUGGCGAGGUGCUAAGCAACUCAGUAAGAUCCUGUCUCUA
RNAcentral lists this small RNA (124 nucleotides) under Marmota monax (woodchuck). The record is from RNAcentral. Lineage: Eukaryota; Metazoa; Chordata; Mammalia; Rodentia; Sciuridae.